RNAcentral lists this long non-coding RNA (35720 nucleotides) under Musa acuminata (dwarf banana). RNAcentral describes it as "long non-coding RNA (MACU_LNC001450)". Lineage: Eukaryota; Viridiplantae; Streptophyta; Magnoliopsida; Zingiberales; Musaceae. The record is from RNAcentral.
UUGGAGAAGGUACUAACAGAGUCAAGGCAGCAAUAAGAUCAGCAUUAGUGAUGCUCAAACCAGCAUUGUACUUGAUGAAUUUCCCAGUUGUAGUGUCAAAUGCUACAUCAGCACCAACUGAGAGAGUCUUAGAUCCAACCGCACCAGAAAGGUUAACCACAGGAUUUGCUGUCAAUCCAAUACUCGCAUUAAUCCCAGUAUAAUCAUGCAAGUAUUGAAUCUCAACCUGGAACACAGCAAUAAGUUGAUAUAUAGAACAAUUUAGUUGACAACAAGAACAACUAUCUGAUGACUUCACCAGAACUUUCUGCUUACCUUCCCAGACCUCUGGUCUGGAACAACAAAACUGAAAAUUGUCUUCAACCCUGGGCUGGCAAGUUCGUCAAUGGUAAUUGUUGUUGUAACCUAGCAAAUACCACAAAACAAACUUUGUUGUCACCACCAUCUGUCAGCAGAAAAAAAUCAUAUCUGCAAGAAAAUGGCACAUUCUCUCCUGUCUGUUGUUUCAUUAGUUGAGUUGACAAGAAUACAUCAGGCUCAUUAUUAUAGUAAAAAUGGCAUUUUCAUGAUAAGCCAAAUAAUGUGUUUGAUCAUGAUUGACUUAAUAGCCUCACAAUCUAUUUUGUUUUAUCAUCUCAUAAAAUGUACAGUUGUUAAUAAACCUUGUUACCAUUUAAUCAUUUAUCAUAAAGACUUGACGAGUGAAGUCUACAGGACUUGCCCAUCAAAUCCCUCCCUCAACAAUUCUUUUUAGUGAUCUAGACCUUUCUUUCUUCUGAAAAUCAUUACAUAAAUGUUAAAAAGAACAAUUCUCGUAAACUUAUUUAAAGUUCUCGAUCUAAACCCAACUCCAGACUGUGGAUAGGCUAUGAUUGCCUGCAUUUAAGGAAGAUCCAAACCCUCAUAUUUCUUUAAGAAAUUAAUGUGUUCCAUUUUUAUCAUCAUUGCAUUUUGAAAUACAAAGACUUGAUAUGAAUCUCAACAUUCUUUAAUAGAACACCUAGCUUGAUGAAAGAUAUUGAAUUUCAGAUAAAUUAUUUGAGAAUAAGAAACUACAGAUAUUUGAAAGGAGAAGCAACAAAUGAUGAGAUUAAAAAAAAAGACCAAGAAACAAAAACCUGCUCCUUAAGAGGAACGGUAUAUCAAUAGUUCUCUCUGUAGGUACCUUAAGCAUGUGUUAACAAGCAUGAGAAAUUGUAUGCACCAGGUCAACAUUUCCAAGUACCAUACAAUAAAUAACUAAUGAAUAAUACGAAACUCAUGAAUUUCUGGUAUAAAUUAUAUGUGAAAGAUUUAUGCUUCAAACACUAUAACAUGUUAAAUUUGGAAAAAGACAAUCAAAGAAUGAAAGAAGUGUUACAUUUGAAUCUGAGUUUGUUUUCACAUCAAAGGUGACAUUCUUGUUCUUUAUGUGAGAUUGAAUCUCACCAAAAAUCAAAUCAUUCUUUCUUGUGCCCGAUGCUGUAAUUUCCUGCAGCAGAGAAAAGAUCAAACAAGUGGAAAUUUGUGUAGAGAAACAACAAAGAGAGAAUUAUUCAGUAUAUAGCAUUCAUAUUAAUCUGUAAGUACACAUGUAACUAGAAAAACAAGCUUCAAACAAGAAAAUCACAUUGUAAAAAGUCAAAUGAUGUUUGUCUUUUCUAAAUGUACUGCAUGGACUAGUCAAUAUGCAUAUAGAUCGGCAAUGUGCAUGACCUGAUAAUUAGAGAAACAUGUGAUUAACUUUUUAUCUUGAAAGGUCAUAACCCUGCAACUCUUCUUUUCAAUGCCUUUACUGGUUCCUUGUAGAUUUUUUAGGAGUGAGAUGCUUUUUUAUCUAUCCAAAGCAUGCAGCAUCAAAACCAAGGUCUGUCAUACCGAAGCAUACCGCCUGUACCGAGCGGUACGUACCGGUCCGACAGGUUACCGGUACGCGGACCGCCCGGUACCGCUACAGUGCUACAGUACUAUACUGAAGUACUGCUACAGUAUAAACAAUAUAAAAUUGUUCGGUACAACAGGGUGUACCGCUCGGUACACCGGUACCGUACCGUACCGAGCCCAGGUCGAAACGCCGGUACGGUACGAUACGACGAACCUUGAUCAAAACCAAGCAACACUUUCAAAUGGGAAACAUUUUUCCUUAUUAUUCGAUAGAAAAUUCGUUAUCUAUAAAGCACCAACUUAGUUCAAGGGAAAAAGUACGGUAAAGAAUAUAGCGAAAAGGAGAAAAGAUAGCCAACAGAAUCGAGAAGAAAGAGAUAAAAGAGAGAAAAAGAGGUAAAAGAUAAUAUUUUAUUAAAAAUAAUACUUAAGUUCUAUGUCUUAGGGGAUACACAACUCACCUAUUUAUAAACUCUCAAUCUCAAAUGCAACAUUAGUUGUGAAUUAUCUAGCAAAAUAAAAUCAAUGACCAAUCCUUUCUUUGAGUACAAUCAAAUUAGGAAAAGAAGAUGUGUCAAUUAGGUGUCCAUGCCCCAGCUCUCAUCCAUGACCUUGAUGAGCCCCGGACUUUUAGAAAAACUCUCUUAAGUUCCCGAUAUCCCUAUAUGACUUGAAAUCAAUCCAACCAAAUUUGGGUCGAUUUAAGUGUCUCCAAAUGAAUAAAGGUCACUCUCAACUGGCACAGUCCUAAUCUGACUAAAAUUAAGAGUUAGAUCGAAGGAUUGAAAUAUUGUACCGUACUGAAGUUUCGACAUUCGCUCGGUAUGGUAUGAUACUAUAUACCGAGGGAUAUACAGUUCGAUAUAUAUAUAUAUAUAUAUAUAUAUAUAUAUAUAUAUAUAUAUAUAUAUAUAUAUAUAUAUAUAUAUUGAUAUUUAUUUAUAAAUAUAUAUUUAUAUAUAAAAUUUUUAUAUAUAAAUAUUUUUAUAAAAGGUGACAUCUCGGCAACGUCGCCUUUUAUUUUAUAUAUAUAUAUAUAUAUAUAUACCACCCGGUAACGAGUGGUCCGUGUACCGAUCUACUGACGGAUCGAUAUGUACUGCCCUUAUCGGAUGAUAUUAUUCGAAAUUGAAGACCUUGGUUAAAGCAAACCUAUGUACAAAUGUGAUGAAACUUGAUGGUGUGUUAGCCUAGAUGCUAAUAUAAAACUUCAAGCGGUCUUAGGUUGCUAAGAUGACACUCAGCCCACCCCCCUCUAGGCAGACCACAUGACAAAGCAUCUAAGACUGUUGGGCCCACAUGACAAGGUUUAUUUGGCCCAUCUCUUGGCUCACCUAACGAAGACUUAGGCUGACCUAAUUAGGGCUGAAGUGGAAUCUGUUGGCCCUCCUUUCAUGGGUCACAUGCUAAAAAAGAUGAUUCUUGCUAUAAAUUCAUGUCCUCCAAAUUAAUCUCUGAUAAAUUUUAAAAUUUCAAAAUAGCUAGUAAACUAUUGAGAUAUGUUGUGAUAUACAUAUUCCACUGGUCAUGUAGAUUUGAAAGUGGUGAGUUCUGAGACAAAACUGCUAGACUCUCUUAUUGGAUUAUUGAUGUGCGCUGGCAUGAUCUUCUUGAAUGUCCAAAUGCACUGCAAUAAACUAAAAGUUGGUGUGGACAUCUACAUGUCAAUUGCUUUAGAUCAAAAUUAGUUGCAUGGAUGUUAUUUAAUUAGGAAGCUACACUAAACAUUAAUUGCAUAAUUUCUAUGAUGAAAUUCUGCAAGUCGGCUGAAACUUUUCUAGUCUUAUUUGAAUUAUUUCAUGUUGCUACAAAGCUGAUCAAAGGGUGAUUCUAGAGGUAGGAAUACUAGAGAUGUGCUUUUCAUAUUUAUAAAUUGUUGAAAAAUCACUGGUGAAACGAUAGCUAUCAUAACUAAUCCUCGAUCCUCAUAUCCACCCUUUCCGCAAAGAUAGUGGUUGAAUUCUUCUGUCUUCCUCUUCCUCAUAUGAGGAACGAAGACAGAAGCAACCUGUCACCACUACUAUAAUUAACAAGAAAUUAUUAGUUUCUGUGUUUUUUUCCCACAUAUGAAGUUGAUCUGAAUAGUUCUUGGAAAGUGUGGUUGAAUUGGUAUGGGAAAUCGUUGCAAAUUUCAACCUAAGGCUUGAUUAAUAAUUCUGACCAACUUCUUGGUCAAAUAUAAAAAUGAUAGGCUGCUAUGAAUUCCGUUGGUCACUUGGUACAUUACUUUACAGAAAUAGUCAAAUAUGUCAACCCUAGAUCUCCAAUGCAAUAUGGGCUUGCGGUUGCACAGACUUGGCCAUGAAUAAACCAGACCUCAAACUAAGCUCCUCAUAGUUCAUGUCCAGAGACCAAAGACACGUCAAACAGUAUGUCCAUUAACCAAUAUUUCCAUUUGCAAUUCCUGCAAGUAAAACGGUCUACGCAAAGACCAAUCAGAGGAGGAAAGUCAAUCAAACUUUGAUGGAUCUGCAGCAUACUCAAAUCCCUCUGACCAUAAAUUGUGAUCUCCCAAUAGGAAAAUAAAUGUAAAAAUAAAUGCAAAACAUGAAGUCAUAUGAGUGAUUUCAAGAUCCGUCUCCACGCAAAACUAAAGACUAAAUUGACUGAAACGAUCCGUCCAUUCAUCAGAACCACAGAAAUCAAAGAAGAACUAGCAAACAUUACGUAAAAUCCAUAUAAAACAAAAAGGAGGAGAAAAAUGAUCACUCACGACUCCAUUCGAGGUGCAGGUGGUGACGGUGACCUUGUGGUCCGUCUGGUAAUCCCUAUAAAGGAGUUCUGCAACAGAACCAAAGAUCUCCAUCAAGAAAAGGUCGAAAAAUCACAAAGUAAGAGACAUCGAACAAGACGAAUUUACCUCUGGCCUUCCUGCCGAUCUCGAAGUAGAGACCUGGACCCAUCCUCCCUCGAUCGGGAUCAAAGAGCAGCAGCCGCAACAGAGAGGAAACAGAAUAACAGACGGAGGGAAGGAGAGAGAGAGAGAGAGAGAGAGACGAUGACUCUUAAAUAGCGAAGGCGCGAUUUUUCUUUUUCUUUUUCAAUUAUUUCAAAAGAAAAACCUUCUCGUUCUGAAUUCAAAUUUUGAAAACCAAAAUCAUUCCGCGUUAAUUCUCCAAUCACUCGAACAUAUUUGUAUCAAUAUCCAUCUUAAAUCCAGUUAAUUAUUAUUAUUAAAUCUAAUUUAAAUAGGUGGUAUAUUCAUGAAUAAUCGGAAAGUUUUGAUUUAACUAAUCUGCAAAUUUUGUUAAAUUGGUUCAAGAAUUUAAUUAACUGUUGCUUCCGUGAUUCGGAUGCUUACUAAUACCUGAAAGGACGAAAAAAAUUGAACGGCUGAUCUGUUCGGCGUACAGAGAUGUACACCGUCUGAUCUCCUUUUUUCAACAUAUAGACGAAGUAUUUCACACACACACACACACACAUAUAUAUAUAUAUAUAUAUAUAUAUAUAUAUAUAUAUAUAUAUAUAUAUAUAACUUUUAAAAUUAAUUUUUUUAAAAAAAUUAUAACUUUGAAAAAUUCUCAAAGAAUGUUCUAAUUUUCAAAAAUUCCUAUAGAACGCUCCUAAGUUUCAAAAAUUGUUGAUGACUUGUGAGGCAGAGCCUCCACCCGUCGACCCAGUUCGACCUCCUCGGCGCCUUUUGCUGCUUCUACAUCGAGAACCGGACAGAUAAUCUCUGACAUCACUCAUUCGUCCGAUGAUAUGCCACAUCAUUAAUAACUCGCAUUCCAAUAUGAAGUAUGAAGUUCUGAAACACGAUCGAUAAGAUCAAGACAGCAACACGCUGGUAAUGAACGAAUACAGUUGAUUUCAUGGCAUUUGUAACCCAAAUGAGCUGCCAAACUUUUACAGACAGGUUAUUGGGUGAAAACAGUAGGAAGUAGAACGCUGCUAAUAUCAUAAUUCUCCAAUGUCUUCUUCAGAAAAAAAAAAAGGACCAGUGUUGCUUAUUGAUUAGUCAACUCCACUGCAAUUUACCAUGUUUUUGCCUGCACCACAGAGAACAAUGUCACUUCCUAUCUUCUCAAGUAUCAGAAUGACUAUAAGAACUGAAAUUUGUAUUAUCAAUGUGGCAGAUGAUGGCUGUAUCAACCAUAGACCAAAAGGAAAAAAGAAACUUGCAUUGUCAAAUGGUGUCGAAGUGAUGUUGCAGUUCUCAAUGAACAAGUGUGAAACAUUAAGUUGAAAGGGUAGUUAUGAUGAAAAACCUAUAACUUAAAUUCACACAAACCAAUGACAAAUGAUAGAAAAAAUUCGACUGCAGUUACUGUGACAACCAAGUAGUUGAUGUUGGCAGCCUACGGAUCUUCACCAUGGUCCAUUCCCUAGAAAAUCAGUAGCAUAAACCUAUUGUAAGAUGUAUAACUUCGGUGUCAUUUUUUUGGGUCCGACACAAAAUAAUUAAAUCUAUUUUUAAAUGCACAUAAAAAUGAACAUAUGAUUCCUUUAUUUUAAAAAUGCACAUAAAAACAGCAUCAUUUUACAAAGAGCAAAAUAAAGCAAUAUUUGGCUGGAGAUAAAAUUGUCACUUUAAUUCAAAACAUAUGAUUCCUUCAUUCUUGUUUGGUCCAAAUCAGGGUCAAUUUUCAACAGGCAGCUCCUAGAUUCAUGAGUUGACACACAAAUGAGAGAUAAUUUAAAUUUCACAGUAUCCUCUCUCUCUCUCUCUCUCUCUCUCUCUCUCUCUCUCUCUCUCUCUCAUCUCUAAAUUUGCAGUUGUUGGUAUAUAUCAGUGUUUCCCAAAGGACUUACAUUCAUCAUGUGGAUGAUUAAAAAAUCUGCUAAAAGUUAGAUUGUUUCAUAUGCAAAUGCUUCUUAAGGUUCCUUUUACCCAAUUGGAUAGAAAGAGAAGGCUUGCAUGGAGUAUGACUAUUUCAUAUCCAUAGUCUUCUUGACUUAAGGUUUUUUUUACCGGAUCGGAUAAAAUAGAUGACUUGCAUGAAGAAUGACUACUUGACACAUGCUACACAGCCAAUGCUUGAUGAAGGAGAUCAUAGACAAAUUGGCACUUAAAGGAAAAUAAGUCAUCCUUGCAAUUAAUAUAUAUUUUUAUUUUCACAACCACCUUGGAGCACAAAAAGAUAGCACAGAAACAUCAUUAUAUCCUGAAUUUCCAUUAACACCUCAAACAUCAUUAAUGUCAAUAACUAUAAUGAACUCCUAUUUCGAAAGAAAAAUAAUAUUCAACUGAUGGUGUUUAUUAAAGCAGUGAUUUGAUAAACUACUUGUACAUUUUGUUCAAGUUCUGCCUAUUAUAACAUGAGCUAAGUAUGCGGAAAACAUUCUUGUUAAGAAGGAAAAAAAUCUAUGAUAAAAUUGUCAUUUAAUGUUUUCAGAGUCUGAACAGAACUUGCAAUCAGUAUCAAUUUUCAAGAAAAUACAUCCUUUAAUUUAUUUUUCAUAUAAAAGAAAUAAUGUACCUAAAACUCAAAAGUCCCAGAACCUUGUUCUAUAUCAUUUCAGUUAACCAUUUGCACUAUGUCAUAACACCAUCAAAGUUUUAAGGUCACCAAGGGACAUAAGAGAAUCAUGUCAUCAUAAAACUGGGUGACCUACUGCAUAAGACUCUCGCCAAUAUAGGGUCUGACAAGGUUUAGUAUAUAAGUCUUACUUCUGCAAAAUAAGCAGAUAGUUUAUACUACUUGAACACUGGGCACCUAGAUCAUAAGGAGGCAACCGCAUUAGGAUAACAGGACCCACCAUCAAAAUUGUGUCCCUGUGAGCAACCAAAAUUAUGCUUUACAGAUGAAGUAUAAUUUUUAAGUAUUAAGAUUUGACAUCCUGAUUAUCCUUAGUCGUAGUCCAAAUCUAGUUCUAGAGGGCAACAUAAGAUUUAUAUGAAAGUUGUUAGCUUUGUGUUUUGAUCACAUGAGCAAACAUGCUACAAAUUUGUCAGGGUCAAGAGGCAAAUAUUUAAAUAUCCAAAGAAUCAAGGAAGCUAAAAGUAUCAUGAGCAAGUGUUAUUACAAGCAUAUGCAUAUUGAAGUUACGCCUUUCAUGAAAAUAUGAUAGGCUCACAUUCUUACUACUUUGACAUACCUGUAACAUAUCCAUGUCAAUAACUAUGUACUACUUGAAGUAAAUUAGUUGUGUUGAAUGGCAUUAUCCAUUGAUUAACUAAGACAUGUGGGAUAUAUAAUUAAGAAAAUUUCCAUUUGAACUGAAACAAAUUACAUCCCACAAUUCUUCUGAGAAAGCACAUUAGAGAAGGGCAGUUUGAUAAACAAGGAGAAGAUGGGACAGGGAAAGAAUUCUGUAAUUUUGUGCGGAGUCAUUACCAGUGAUUGCUUUUCACCGCCCAUACUUCUUCAGCACAUCCUUAGUUCUCUUCCUCAAGCGAGUGAAGACGAUAACCAUGCAAGCUAGAACCCAUGGAGGAAAUGUUAUGCCGGAGAACCUUGACGACUUGAACCAUUCCGGUGUUUCUUUAAAGAAUAUUGCGAUCAGAAGUGUUAGCACUGCUACUCCGACCAUGAUCUUCGUCACAGGCUUAACCAAUGAAUCCUGCAAAGAAGAAUUACCAUAAAUACUCUCAAAAGAAAUAAAAAAAAUCAAGAACAGCAUGAGAUCGGUACAAAAAUCUAUCUUUUUCGCCAGGAAUUUUAGCUUUCUUAAAAAGAAAAAAAAAUCAUGAUCAAUCGAAUAAAUUCAACAAAAAGGUUCAGACGAACAAACGAUCGAGAGAGGAAUCACCUUGGGUUCUCCAUCAAUGACGACCACAGAUCCUCCGGUGUAAGGGAGGAUUGAUCGGCCGUUGCGGGAGCUGAAGCGGAUGGGGACGCCUCUCCCCGACUCGGGAUUAAAGGCGAAGAGGGACUUGAACCCAUACUUGUCGAGGAUGUCUUGAACCUCGAGGCGAUCCUGAUCCCAACCGCCCAGCUUCGAUCGGAAGACGUCGAUCGGCCCUCGUCCCCGGCGGAAGAGGUGGACUUCCACCUCCGGUGCCUUGUUCUUGUCGCCGGAGCUAGAAUUGGGGUCAGGCUUCGGCGAAGACUCUUCGAAAGACUCGAUCGCUUCGCCCGCCUUGUUUUCCUCCAUUUUCUUCUGGGCCUCUCUUCUUCCAAGAAAGGGCAAAGGAGCGCAGGUGAGGGCAACGGGGGAGGCGAAGUGGAAUAUGUCUUUAGUGGUGCAUCCCGUCCAGUGUGACUUUUAAUUUAUAAUCCUCCAAGCGAUUCCAAUAUGAAUCGCUUCGUCGAUGUGGGUUCCAUUUAUUUUAUAUGACCGGCUUAGAUCGAGUUUCCGAUGUGAAGCACAAAUUGAGUCCGACCAUUAAUUAGAGAAGAUCCCAAUAUAUGGUUAUUUUUAAGUUUGCCAUAAUUCGCAUACAUAUAUAUAACACAAAAAGUGAAAUUUGAAUUAUAGAAAUUUCAGAAAAAUAAUUUUAAAAAAUACCAAUAAGGAAUCUACUAUCCACAAAAUCAAGAAAUUAAAAAGGUUAAAUGGAGCCAGCAUUACCCACCAACAAAAAUUAGAUAUUACUUGAUAAACAACUCAUGAGAUCAACUUGGUGAAAUUAGCAUAUGGAGAUGAUACAAUAUCAAGGUUCAAGAUACAGAUAUUAAUAUUCCUGUCAACUAUAUUGUUGGGGGCAAUGAUAAUAAUCAUACACUAUCUAUCUAUGGAUGAUAUCAUUAGAUUCUCAAACCAAAAAAGUAGAAUCAUUAUGCCAAACAUACAAAUUUAUCCUAUAAAAUAUAACACAAAUUAAUGAAUGAAAAGAAUAGAAGAUAAGAACAAUUAUUAAAGAAACCUUAUUGAAGUAACUUUAGCUUUAGCUUUAUUGAAUAGAGAGAUUUCCUUAUAUACUUAGGAAAUCUUAUCUUCUAUCACAAAUAGCAGAUGCCAGUAUUUAUCAAUCAUGAAAGCUUAUUGAAAUAUUGUUGGCAACUUUGAUGAACACAUCCUCCAAUGUGGCAUCAACCAGACCCCAUGCCUGGAUUGUGAGUUUACUCUUUGCAAUCUCGACGGCCCGGAAAACAUCAGAUAUCCUGACCUCCUGCUUUGGCAGCUCAAACUUUUGGGUUCCAGAUAUGUGAUAGAUCUUGUUUGCAUUUGGCGAUAGUCGCCGAACCAAGUUUUCCACCUCUUCUUCUUCGUUCGCAGAUGUCGUCAUGGUAAAGACAUAAGAUCCACCAUACCGAGCCUUAAGCUGCAAUGAAAAUUCUUUCAGUAUAUUCUGUUUCUCGGAACUUUUUCAGAUUUGAAAGCUUUUUAUCACCAGAUGAAAGUAGGUGAGGAAAUUAUUUGAACAAUCAAUGUAAUUGUAGAUAUCAUGUGUUUGCAGAGCUUGAAAUAGUUGAGGAAAUGGUUUGAAUAACCAUGUAGCUUAAACUUUAGAUCAGCCACUUAAAUUGUAGGAACAAGUUUUUGAAGUAAUACUACCCUGAUAUGAAUGUCAUGUGAUUGUCAUACCUCCUUUGCAUUUCCUAUGCACUGGAAACCUCCAUCAACGAAGAUGCCAAGACGAUCACAUAAAACCUCGGCUUCCUCCAUCGAGUGUGCUGAAAUCAUUGAGAUAUCUUAAUUAUUUGAGGUCGUCAGUAGUAAAUAAGAAUACAUAUUAUCCCCUGGCAUGAGUGAGAAUAUUUGAUUGUCCUAUUAUCUAGGUGAAAACAAUGAAUCUGAAACUUUUGACAAUGCAGUUAAAUAUGUUUAUGCAAGAUUCAGACAUUUGUCUUUCUAAAACCCAGACUUCGUGGGUAGGUUACUGGCAGCAAUAAAGCUGGCAGAAUAUACAUACUUGUGAGUAUGAUUGCCCGGUCUCUUUUUGCAUGCUUCACGACAUUCCAUAAUCUGUUUCGUGAUGCAGGAUCUAGUCCAGUACUCGGCUCAUCCAUGUAGACAACCUGCCAAAGAUAUUUCAAACCUUAGAUUUUUCUCAAAAUAUUUCUGUCUGUGUAGGUCUAGAACCAUCAGAAAGAUUUGUACCUUAGGAUCCCCAAUCAGUGAAAUGGCAACACUAAGCCUCCUUUUCAUUCCACCACUAUAUUUCGCAACUUGUUUAUCUCCAACACCACCAUAAAACAAAUCCACACUCUUCAAAGAUUCCUCCACAGCCUGGAAGAUGAUGAAUACAUGUAAGAGAUGUCAAUAAGUUUCAGACAUGUAAUACUGAAUUCCAUGAGAAAAUGUGUUCCUGUGCAAUUAAAUUGUUAAAUAAUACAUGCAUUUGACACUUUCUGAGCAGGAUAACCUCCUGAUAGCAACACAAAGAUGCCUCUACAGAAGAAACUAAGAUUAAAAAAAAAAUCCUUAUAUGGGAAGAAAUUGGCUUGUCAAUUUUCAAUUUCAGAUUGAUAAAUAGAAUAUUGGCCAGAUUAAUGCAACAGUGAAUUUAGACAGCCAACUUAAGAUCAGCCAACACAAGUGAACCAUGAAACCUGCUUCUAUAACAAUGUUAAGUCCUUAUUAUUUGAGCAUAUAAUAUAGCAAAUCUACAUGGUAUGUGUUAAUCAUACACUACGGUGAGUUAAUAAAUGGUAAUUUUGUGAUACCCCCCAUUUCUUUUGUUCAAUUAAUAACUUGUACAGUUGCAGUAAAAGGCAAUCUUUUCCUAAUACAAAUGUUUUCACUAAGAACCUCAUACACGUUUAAAUUCCAACCUGUUUGUUGUUAUCAGUUAACAAUCAGAAUAUGGCUUGGUACUCCCAUGAUUAUUGUAAUUAUUGGAACUGAAAAUUAUCCUUUAGUGAUGCAUAAUAAGCAAAGUUAGAAUAUGAUGAUGGAAUUGAAAUUAGAAUCUAAAGUGAUGCAUAAUAAGCAAAGUUACAAAUGGUGAAACUGAAAAUUAUCCUUAGUGUUCGAUACAACUUUGUACAGAGGCAAUUAGUAGUAUAAUUGUACUAUGGUAAGAUGACCCAAAUCUUAAGUAUAACACACCAUAUUGAUAAUUAUGAAAUACCUGUAACAAUGCAGCACCCUUAAGGUUCUUCAGUCGGCCAUAAAACAGUAAGUGUUCUCUGCCAGUCAAUGUUUCCCAGAGCAAGCUGUAGUUUAGGAUGAUUGUUAAUAGGACUAGCAAUGUUUGAUUGAAGUGAACAUGAGAACUAUCAAUGGUAAUCUUCUCAGCAGUAAAAUCAUAAGAUAUAAAUGUCUUACUCAUGCUGUGGGCAUACUCCCAUGCUUGUGUAUAUUUGAUCCAUAUUGGUUCUUAUGUCCAUUCCCUGAACAUAUGCAGUGCCAGAGGAAGGUGUAAUAAGACCAAUCAUCUGCAAAUACAGUUGUUAGGACAAUUUUUUUGCCAUGUAACAUAUGUUAGAACCAUACGAAAUGGAGGACUGAUAGACCAAUAAAUAUGCAAUACUGAAAAAGGCCUAACUGAACUCUUAAGAGUUUAGCUUGAAGGAUGCUAGAAUUGACUUUAUGGUGACUGAAAAAGGGCUUUCAGUAAAUAAUUUUUUUAUUUCAGGAAGAAGAAUAUAUAUAUUGAAUAAAUGCAACUAACUUUUGGAACUGAUACAAAGCCAAGGCUACACAGUGCCGUCAUGACCUAGGUAUAAGCAUCUUGAUGUAAUGCAGUCGAUAAUAAAUCCAUAUUUAAACUUUAUCACUUACCAUAGUGAUAAAGGUAGUUUUUCCAGCACCAUUAGGGCCAAGCAUGCCAAAACAUUCACCAUUAGGUAAAGCAAGAGAUAGUCCUCGAACUGCAUGUUUGUCUGGAUUUCCAUCACAUCCUGGGUAAACCUUUUUGAGGUUAUCAGAGAUGACUGCAUGACUAAUAUAAGGUUCUAGUAGCAGAUGCUCAACAACUUCACGCUGGCAUGAACAAAAACAUGAUAUGAAUGAUUGCAAUUAAUCAAGAGCUGCAGAAACUAAAAGAUCAGUAAUUGAAGACAGUUAAAUGUAAUAUUAAGAAAUACAACAGAAUUUUAUGAUAAGAAAAGCAAUUAGGACAUAUAGAAAUGUAGUCCUCAAAAUCCAAGCUAGCACUUAAUGAAAGUAGUAGUUCAAUAAAAAUUGUUGUUUAAUAAUUGUUGUUAUUUGCAUCUUAAAGUUCUUUUAUGAAACCAAGAUACUCUUAAGUAAUCUUCACUUGGAUGACUUUAUUUUAACAGUCAGUUAGAAAAACAACACGAUACAACCUUGAUUUGAUUUGGAAAGGCCAUUCAUAAAGCAGUAAUAACAAUCAAAUCAUUCUUAGCAACCUAACACAAUUUUCCAUUUCAAAUUAUUUAUGAUAACAAGAUAAUCAACAUCUUCCAAAACAUCUAAGCUCUAGUAUUAAACCAAGUAGCAUUUGAACAUUGUUGAGUUGCUAUUAGUUACAAUAACCAAGUAAAAUACAAAAAAUUCUGACAUUUAAAAGAUCCAUUUUCAGUUAAGCAAUUAACAAACUCUAAUAAUUUUCUGAUUUUGUGUGUCUAUAUAGCUUGCUAUGUUAUGCAAAUAUAUUAAGACUCUUAAUGAAAAACUUGAACUUAAACAGUAAACAAUUAAAUUAAGUGUUUCACCUUUUCAGUAACAAUGAACUUUUAAAUGUUUGUCUGAUCAUUGGAACUCAGUGAAGUAUAUACAAUAGCUCUGGCAAGUAAUGUAACUUACUUCCUGAGAAACAUCAGUACUAUCUAUUUUAACAAGAACUUCAGAUCCUUGUCGCUGCAAACCAGGCUUUCUUUGAGAUGAUCGAGAUUUUUUCUGGAAAUAGUUUAACAAAAAUAGUGGAUCCUUCCUGAUUCCUCCUAAUACUUUAUCCAAAUAAUAUGCGACUGGAAGAAAUACUAGCCACUCAACAAACAUUAUGAUCAAUACAUCUUUCAUCCCAUUUUGCCUGUCAUUUAAAUCUCGCCAUUGCAUACCAGAAGUCCCCAUUUGAUCUCCUUUAAAGGAAUACUGUGAAAGCUCAUAUAACCCACGAUACAAGGAAAAUCCAGGAACGAGCUCCAUUACUAUAAUCCAAGCUCCUGAAAAACAUGAGAAGACCUUUUUUCAAUGUUGAGGAAUUGUGAAGAGAAUUGAUAUCUUCCAGAAAACAUAAACUUUCAGGUCAAAACAUCUUUCAGAUCAUCCCAUAAAGAAUAUUUAUUUGGAAAUGAUCCCACUUACUUGGAAAGCUAGUAUCUUCGAUGAAAAAUUGCAAAAGGUAUGGUCCUAAUAAGCCCGAACCGAACACAUAAAUGUACCCAGUGACUGCAGCAACAGAUUUCAUUUCAUUAAACUAUGUCACUAAGUUCUCCCAUCCAAAGUUUAAGGCAUAAUUUUUUUAUUCAUUUAACCAUAUUUAUAUCUCACCUGUAGCAGUUUUCACAGCAGAAAAGAAAGUUGAUGCGAGAAAGGCCAUCGCUAUCUGCAAGUUUAUGUAAAAGAAAUAGAACACGAUUUGUACGCUGUAGUCAUUCAAUCUGAAAAAUUUUAGCCCUGUACAGGAGAAAAGAUUAUCAGCUCAGUUUUUCAUGUACAAACUAAUGAAGUUUUUGGGCUGUCUUUACCUAUUAGAGAGCCAAAUAUGACAAAACAUAUCAUGUAGAGUGAUGAUAGUGAGAAAAAGUAAACGUAAGAUAUCAACCAGUAAGGUCCAUCUUUUAGCCCAUGCAUUUUCAUCAUAAUUUUUAACUUUUGUUGCCUCUCAUAGACAAGGUAUGUCAAGAUAACCUACAUAAGAAACAAAAGGUUAGUCUCGGUUAAGCAGAAAUAAGUUAGAACAUCCAAAGUUAAUAAUGAUAGUAUAUUAAUUUAGGGUUCUAUAGAUGUUUAGAGAUUGAAAUCCUCAUACAAUGUCACAGGCAUGGAAGAAUACAGUAGAAUCUCAGGGUUCUACCCAUCCACAACAAACACUCAUGGAAAGGCAGACAGUGUAUUACAGAAACUUAGCACUAAAUUUGGAUGCACAUCAAAACAAAAAGCUGUCUCUUUAAGAAAAAGAUUUCAAAGAUCUAUUUUAAUAAUAUUAUCUCUCAUUAAACUUACCGGGAAAAGUAGCUCAAUGAUCCAGGUGAAGAAUAAUGCACCAAGAAGGGAAGAAAUGUCAAACCUCAACUGUGUUCCAGUUUUGGGCAUUUCUUUAAGAUAUUCAAGCAUUGCCAUGACACCAGGACCAUUGUGAAACUUCAGAUAGGCAUUUGAGGCCUGCAAAGUAAAUGAAAAUGAUAAUUUCAUAAAUAAAUAAAAUAUGAGAUAAUGCUCAUUGAUCUAUGUGUUCUUAUACCAAUCUUAGGUCUAGGGGCAACAUGGAUAUAUAAACACAAAAUUAAAGAAAUGUUAGUUAUGAUUGUUAAAAAGGGCCUCGCUUUCUCUUUUCUAUUGUUUAAGCAAAAGGGACAUAGAGACAAUUGAAAGGAUCUAAACUUGAGUUAAAAAGUAUACAAAGUAUGAACAAACACAAUUCAGAAACAAAGUUGAGACAUACUGCUAAAAGUAAACAAAAGAAAUGAUGCAGACAACAGUAUAGGUUAGACAAUUAGCUUAAGCCUCUCUCAGAACUUGAGACAGACUGUUAACUUGUUUUCCUUGAAAAUGAGUAGCUAGUAAAACAUUGAGUUCAUUCAUCGCCUGAGAUUCAUCAAAAAGGCAGGAUUUACAGAGAGGUGCAACUAGAUAUGAGCCAAAAAUAUUGAGUCAGCAGGACUCAUGUUGAUGUUUAGUGUCUACAUAAACUUAAGAGAGGCUCAGCUGAGGCCAUGUGAAAGUGAGAAAGCCUCAUUCAUAUAAAAACAACAUAUUUUGGAUUCUUACUAAAUUUUCAUUGAAUUCAUAUCAAUCAUAUAUUUAAAGGUAUGAGAAAACCACAAACUAGGAUUAGGUUCUGUUUUACUAGUUAUUAUCAAGUAUGAGAGAACCACUCACACAAAUUGCUCAAUCUAUCUCCCACUGAUAAGAGUUACAACAAGUAAUAUAUUUAAUUUUGUCAGUCAAACUUAUCUGUGCUGUUGUACAAGGGAGAGAACACUUAUCACCUUAACAAGAUGAAACAAUAAAAAAAGAUGAAUCGAAAUGCCCUUAAAAAAAUACUAUUGUCAUACUUAUUACUGAUUUUAGCAGCCAUUAGCCAACUAUUUGAUGCUAAUACAAAUCAGAACAUAUUUGCAAUAUCAGAGAUUAUAACAACAGUCUCAUACAUACCAGAUUCACUGAGCGAGGUACACGCACCAGGUAACCAUUGCCAUCAUUAUACGUUGAGUUGUACCCAAUAUUUAGAUUAAAAGAGUUUUCAUCAGAGUUCAAGAAGUCAUAGGCUGCAAGAGAAAGAACAUACUGGUAUAAGCAGCCCCGUACAGACACACAAAAGAUAAAAAAUUUGAAGCCGUUCGAAAAGAUAACCUGCAAUGAACUCAUUAAUUUUCUUCUCUGAAUUUCCUUGUUGGUAACCUUUAAACAACUCAUCAUUUAUCAACGACGAGUUAUCACGCCACAAAGUCAAUCCUUGAACACAUUGUAACUCUGUUGUCAUUUCAAAGACUAGAGAUUCAGAAUAUAAUAAUUUUUUUAACAAAAGCUACAACAUUAAAAUAGUACAAUAUGAAGAAUAUAAUUUCAAAUAAACUUGCAUUUAAUUUUAAUUAAAGGCAGUAAAGGUUUUGGCAAGCAUAGUUUUAUGCAUCACCUGAUUCAAUGAAAUCUUCAGAAUAAGCUUGAUUGCAGCACAAAUUCCAAGUGUACAUAGAUUUGAGGAAUUUAGGCUUAAUUAAUUUUGUAAAAGAUUAUGGACAUGAAAUUUAAAUUUCCUUUUAGUUCAGACUUGCAUUCUGGGUGCAUUUAUAAAUCAUAAAUGACACAUCAAUAUCAUCACCUGGAUCACAUAAUACACGAAAAAGGGUUUCCAAAUAGUUUUCCGAAAAGUGGCUGAUUCUCAUCAAUUUUCUUUAAUAUUUAGUAUGGAACAAGUCUAAAAGGGCUCAAACAUCACGCAGAAAAUCCAAACAUUUUCAUCUGGUCAUAAGCUGAAACAGGAAGCUCAUUCACGUUAUCAUGGAAUUCAAAAAAUAAAUGGAAAAUUGUUGGCAAUAUGCCAAAGCAAAUAGUCACAUUCAGAUUCUAGAAAGAACAAACAAUAGAGGUUUUUUUGCCAGAUCUUUCAAUUAAGUAUUAGAUGAGAAUAUGAUAAUGCAGAGUCCUACACUUCAGCCAUCAGUAUGCCACUUGAAAAUUUUUAAUUAAAGCACAAGUCAUUUGUUCUAGCUCCAUAAUGAUGCCAAGUGAGUUAGCGAGUUGCCUACUGUUCCAGAAUUUUCAGAAGUCAGCAUGCAGUUGGAAGCAAGCAAUAGAUAAUGACGUGAAACAACCAACGCAAAAGAAAUAUCUUUAUUAUAUAUUUGGGGAAAGAUCCUAUAGUUUUAUGAGGCAUCUCUUUCUUGUAGAAGAAGAGACAAAGGACACUUCUGUGUAUUACCAAUGGACACACCAUGUGACUGCUGAGAUACCAACAAAACCUCACCGCAGGCGAUUGUACAAAUGCAGAUUUCAACAUGACAGAAGUACUCUAAACCAGACCUCAAAUGGAAACGAUAAGUUGACAAAGAAAAGGAACAGGAGGAGGAAGAAAACUUAGUCUUGCUCCCGGCAAGAAAAUAUUUUACCUAGCUCAAUUGAUCUGUUGGCAAUUAGAAAGGAAAUUGGACUUGCUGCAUUUGAUGCACAUUGAGGUUGGAUCAGAUAUAAGGGUUUAUCAGAGACAAAAGCAGGCUCCAUGAACUGUGUGUUUCCCGUUGAUGUGUCGGUCCCCUGGAAAGGUCAAGGACAGAACCAAUCUUGCCUCCAAUUACGAAUGAUAGCAGCAAACUAGACAAAAGCAUUGGUUCUAAGAUCUUACAAGCAUGACAGUAAACAAACUGCUGGGGAAAUCCGAGAGGUUCAAUGCGGAGGAAGAACUCAGAAACAGACUCUGCGCCAGAACUGCCAACAAAGAUCAAUUUCGGUUCAGACAGUUACUCACGGGCAAUCAUCGUAUUGUGAUGGAUUUCCGGAACAAAAGCAUGGCAAGAGAAUCGGAUACUUUGUGCGAAGGAUUGAUUGCCGCCGGUGAAAAGUACCGACGCCGGACAGGACUGCGAGACCUUGCAAGACUCAUCGGGCAAGCCCGCGGGGGUGGGGUGAUCGGAUGUCACGGCGCGAGACUCGGGGCGAGGAACCUGGAGGAGCGCCGGCCACUCGAAGGGGCUGGAGAUGGGGCAUGCGUCGAACUGAUCCAGCGAUGAGUACUGGAUGCCGCAGACCCCUCCCUGGCACCCGCAUCGAUGCCCGUACUUGUUGAUCUCCUCCUCCACCACCUUCUGGAUGAGGAUGAUCACCGCGCAGAGGAAGAUGGGGAACGCGACGAUCCCGAUGUUGGUCUUCAGGUUCCGUUUCUGCCAUAAGAGGACACGCAUACAGGCAAGCAAUGAGAAGGCUCGAAGCGCAUGAGGGAAAGAACACAAAAGGUGAUUCUAUUCCUGUUCAUUUCGCCACUCCGCUCAGGAAACGAAAUCGAGUUGAUGAGAGGAAGGCGGAGGAAGGGGAACCUGGAAGGUGAGGUUCUUGCGGAGGAGAGCAUUGGCUUGGGUGAAGAAGCUGGCGGCGCCGCGGGACGAAUAGGAGGACGAUGACUCCAUCGAUUCCUUUCUCUCUCUCUCGCCUUCGCAAGAAAUGUAUUUGCGUCUACUUCCCUGUUCGCUUCUGUCUCUCUCGAAAGAUCAAUGAUUUGAAAGCUUGAAAGAAGGGAUGGAGGAUUUAUAGGGCAACUCCGAAGUGGUGGUAAGGAAAGGGACGGCAUGACUUCGCUUGCAUGGCUGCACACGGGGACGAAAACAAUCGCUGGAUCACGUGACAGCAGCAAAUGUACGUACGAAGGAUACAAAGGUCAACGCAGGAUCGUUUGACUUCCGAGAUGGGAGAUUUGGGCUCAGUGAGAGUUUCGGUGGCGGCGAAAAUGAUGGAAAACGAUUUUUUUUUUCCCUUACAAAUUCUAUUCUAAGCUAUGAAAUUAUAGAAAAAAUAAAUAUUUUUUCUUCUUUUUCUUUUUAGAUAUUUGAAUAUAAUAAAAAAAAAUUCUUUGCAUAAAGGAAGUUUUGGAAUUUGUUUUUGUUUUUGUUCCUACCAAAUAAACAUCACAAAAGAAGUUUUCAGAAGAAACAUGACCUUUCAAAGAUCCUUUUUCAGUUAAGCAAUCAACAAAUUCUAAUAAUUUUCUGAUUGACUGAUUCAAUAUAGCUUGCUAUGUUCUGCAAAUAUAUUAAGACUCCUAAUGAAAAACUUGACCUUGAACAGUAAUCAAUUAAAUGAAGUGUUUCACUUUUUCAGUAACAAUGAGCUUUUAAAUGUUUGUCUGAUCAUUGGAACUCAGUCAAGUUUACAAUAGCUCUGAAAAGUAAUGCAACUUACUUCCUGAGAAACAACACUACUCUCCGUUUCAACAGGAACUCCGAAUCCUCGUCGCCGCAAACUACGGUUUCUUUGAGAUGAUGGAGAUUUUUUCUGGAAAUAGUUUAACCAAAAUAGUGGAACCUUCCUGAUGCCUCCUAAUACCUGAUCCAAAUAGAAUGCAACUAGAAGAAAUACUAGCCACUCAACAAACAUUAUGAUCAACACAUCUUUCAUCCCAUUUUGCCAGUCAUUUAAGUCUCCCCAUUGCAUGCCAGAAGUCCCCAUUUGAUCUCCUUUAAAGGAAUGCUGUGAAAGCUCAUAUAACCCACGAUACAAGGAAAAUCCAGGAAUGAGCUCCAUCAUUAUAAUCCAAGCUCCUGAAAAACAUGAGAAGACCCUUUUUUCAAUGCUGAGGAAUUGUGAAGAGAAUUGAUAUCUUCCAGAAAACACAAACUUUCAGGUCAAAACAUCUUUCAGAUCAUCCCAUAGAGAAUGUUUAUUUGGAAAUGUUCCUACUUACUUGGAAAGCUAGUAUCUUCGAUGAAAAAUUGCAGAAGGUAUGGUCCUAAUAAGCCGGAACCAAACACAUACAUGUACCCAGUGACUGCAGCAUCAGAUUUCAUAUCAUUAGACUAUGUCACUAAGUUCUCCCAUCCAAUUUAGCCAUAUUUAUAUCUCACCUGUAGCAGUUUUCACGGCAGAAAAGAAAGGUGAUGCGAGAAAGGCCAUCGCUAUCUGCAAGUUUAUGUAAAAGAAAUAGAACACGAUUUGUACGCUGUAGUCACUCAAUCUGAAAAAUUUUAGCCCUGUAGAGGAGAAAAGAUUAUCAGCUCAGAAAAGGCUUAGCUUUUCAUGCACAAACAAAUGAAGUUUUUGGGCUGCCUUUACCUAUUAGAGAGCCAAAUAUGACAAAACAUGUAAUGUAGAGUGAUGAUAGUGAGAAAAAGUAGACGUAAGAUAUCAACCAGUAAGGUCCAUCCCUUAGCCCAUGCAUUUCCAUCAUAAUGUUUAACUUUUGUUGCCUCUCGUGGACAAGGUAUGUCAAGAUGACCUACAUAAGAAACAAAAGGUUAGUCUCUGUUAAGCUGAAGUAAGUUAGACCAUCCAAAGUUUAUGAUGAUAGUAGAUUAAUUCAGGGUUCUAUAGAUGUUUAGAGAUUGAAAUCUUCGUACAAUGUCACAGGCAUGGAAGAAUACAGUAGAAUCUCAGGGUUCUACCCAACCACAACAAACACUCAUGGAAAGGCAGACUGUGUAUUACAGAAACUUAGCACUAAAUUUGGAUGCACAUCAAAACAAAAUGCUGCCUCUUUAAGAAAAAGAUUUCAAAGAUCUAUUUUAAUAAUGUUAUCUCUCAUUAAACUUACCGGGAAAAGUAGCUCAAUGACCCAUGUGAAGAAUAACGCACUGAGAAGAGAAGAAAUGUCAAACCUCGACUGUGUUCCAGUUUUGGGCAUUUCUUUUAGAUAUAGCACUGCCAUGACAACAGGACCAUCGUGAAACUUCAGAUAGGCAUUUGAGGCCUGCAAAGUAAAUGAAAAUGAUAAUUUCAUAAAUAAAUGAAAUAUGAGAUAAUGCUCAUUGGUCUAUGUGUACUUAUACAAAUCUUAGGUCUAGGGGCAAUAUGGAUAAUAUAAACACAAAAUUAAAGAAAUGUUAGGUAUGAAUGUUAAAAAGGGUCUCGCUCUCUCUUUUCUAUUGUUUAAGCAAAAGUGACGUAGAGACUUAUGUUCAUAAUUUUGUAUCGUAUCGACGUUUCAAGCUCAGCUCAGUACGGUACUAUAUGGUAUGAUACGGUAUGACAUCGUCAGUAUAACGCCGACGAUGCCGAGGCCUCGUUGCCUCAGAUGAGGAGGAGGUGACAUCUCAUUUGUGGCAUCCGGUGAGUGAGGGGGGCGACGGAUCGGGAUCGUCGAGGGAGAGCAACGACGAUCGAAAUUGAUCGUUAUCGAUCGAUUUCGGAUGGUAACAGGACGGAAACAGUCCCAUUCGAUAGUAUCGUUCUGCUGGUAGACCAGGCGAUCCAGACGUUAUCAUUCGAAAUUAAAAUCUUUGAUAGAGACAAUUGAAAGAAUCUACAAAGAAUGAACAAACACAAUUCAUAAACAAAGUUUAGACAUACAGCUAAAAGUAAACAAAAGAAAUGAUGCAGACAGCAGUAUAGGUUAGACAAUUAGCUUAAGCCUCUCUCAGAACUCGAGACAGACUGUUCGCUUGUUUUCCAUGAAAAUGAGUAACUAGUAAAACAUUGUGUUCCUUCAUCACCAGAAAUUCAUCAAAAAGGCAGGAUUUACAGAGAGGUGCAACUAGAUAUGAGCCAAAAAUAUUGAGUCAGCAGAACUCAUGUUGAUGUUUAGUGUCUGCAUAAACUUAAGAGAAGCUCAGUCGAUGCUAUGUGAAAGUGAGAAAGCCUCAUUCAUAUAAAAACAACAUAUUUUGGUUUCUUACUAAAUUUUCAUUGAAUUCAUAUCAAUCAUAUAUUUAAAGGUACGAGAAAACCACAAACUAGGAUUAUGUUCCGUUUUACUAGUUAUUAUCAAGUAAGAUUACUUGACAAGUAGUCAAAGUAACACCUUGUUAGUGAAUAAAGAAUAUCUAUUAGUAUAAAGGCAGGAUUUUCAGAUUAAAGAAUUUGGAGUAGUACUCAUCAGUUAAAUAAUGCUAUGAUUCCACAGAAAGUCCAUUAUGCUUUUUGCUAUUGGAGCCCAAGUGAUUAGUUCCAUAUUGAAAAUUGAUAAGACUAAGAUUGAUUUAUAAGGAUCCGAUGAACAUAAUAUUAUCAAUUUUAGUUUAAACAUUUUUGACCAAUUACUAGGAAGUGAACCUCUCCGAGGGUUAACCGCUACUUUUAGGAAACAGUAAGAAUUAAGAGUAUGAAUAGAAUAAUAUUAACUGAAACCAAAUUUUAUGAAUAGAAUAAUGUGUUAAUAAAAUUGCUCACUCUAUCUCCCAGGGAUAAUAGUUACAACAAGUAACAUAUUUAAUUUUAUGUCAGCCAAACUUAUCCAUGAUGUUGCUGCACAAGGGUGAGAACACUUAUCACCUUAACAAGAUGAAACAAUCAAAAAAGAUGAAUUAAAAUGCCCUUAAAAAAUACUGCCCUCAUACUUAUUACUGAUUUUAGCAGCAAUUAGCCAACUAUUUGAUGCUAAUACAAAUCAGAACAUUAUUUGCAAUAUCAGAGAUUAUAACAACAGUCUCAUACAUACCAGAUUCACCGAGUGAGGCACACGCACCAGAUAACCAUUGCCAUCAUUACACGUUGAGUUGUACCCUAUAUUUAGAUUAAAAGAGUUUUCAUCAGAGUUCAAGAAGUCAUAGGCUGCAAGCGAAAGAACAUACUGGUAUAAGAAGCCCCAUAUAGACACACACACAAAGGAAAAAAUUUGAAGCAGUUCAAAAAGGUAACCUGCAAUGAACUCAUUAAUUUUCUUCUCUGAAUUUCCUUGUUGGUAAUCUUUAAAUAACUAAUCAUUUAUCAACAACGAGUUAUCAUGCCACAGAAUCAAUCCUUGAACACACUGUAACUCUGUUGUCAUUUCAAAGCCUAGAGAUUCAGAAUAUAACAUUUUUUUCUUAACAAAAGCUACAAUGUUAAAAUAGUACAAUAUGGAGAAUAUAAUUUCAAAUAAACUUGCAUUUAAUGUCAAUUAAAGGCAGUAAAGGUUCUAAGCAUAUUUUUAUGCAUCAUCUGAUUCCAUGAAAUCUAAAGAAUCAGCUUGAUUGCAGUUCAAAUUCACAAUGUACAUAGAUUUGAGGAAUUUAGGCUAACUUAAUUUUGUAAAAGAUCAUGGACAUAAAAUUUAAAUUUCCUUUUAGUUCAGACUUCCAUUCUGGGUGCAUUUAUAAAUCAUAAAUGACACAUCAAUAUCAUCACCUGGAACACAUAAUACAUGAAAAAGGUUUCCAAAUAUUUUUUUUUUUCCAAAAGGUGGUUGAUUCUCAUCAUUUUUAUUUAAUAUUAUAUUAUGGAACAAGUCUGAAAGGCCUCAAACAUCAUGCAAAAAUUCCAAACAUUUUCAUCUGGUCAUAAGCUGAAACAGGAAGCUCAUUCAUGUUUUCACAGAAUUCAAAAAAUAAAAAGGAAAAUUGUUGGCAAUAUGCCAAAGCAAAUGGUCACAUUCAGAUUCAAGAAGGAACAAAAAAUAGAGGCUUUUUUGCCAGAUCUGUCAAUUGAGUAUUUGAUGAGAAUAUGAUAAUGCAGAGUCCUAUACUUCAGUCAUCAGUAUGACACUUGACGAAUUUUAAUCAAAGCACAUCAUUUGUUCUAGCUCCUUAAUGAUGCUAAGCAAGUUGGAGAGUUGCCUACUGUUUCAGAAUUUUCAGAAAUCAGCAUGUAGUUGGAAGCAAGCAAUAGAUAAUGAUGUGAAGCAACCAACGCAAAAGAAAUAUCUUUUAAAUAUAUUUGGGGAAAGAUCCUGUAGGUUUAUGAGCCAUCUCUUUCUUAUAGAAGAAGAGGCAAGGAACACUUCUGUGCAUUACCAAUGUACACACCAUGUGACAGUUGAGAUACCAACAGAACCUCACCACAGGCGAUUGUGCAAAUACAGAUUUCAACAUGACAGAAGUACUGUAAACCAGACCUCAAAUGGAACUAUAAGUUGACAAAGAAAAGGAACAGGAGGAGGAAGAAAACUAAGUAGUCUUGCUCCCGGCAAGAAAAUAUUUUACCUAGCUCAAUUGAUCUGUUGGCAAUUUUAAUGGAAAUUGGACUUCUCGCAUUUGAUGUACACUGUGGUUGGAUCAGAUUUAAGGGUCUAUCAGAGACAAAAGCAGGCUCCAUGAACUGUGUGUUUCCCGUUGAUGUGUCGGUCCCCUGGAAAGGUCAAGGAAAGAACCAAUCUUGCCUCUAAUUACGAAUGAUAACAGAAAACUACACAAAAGCAUUGGUUCUAAGAUCUUACAAGAAUGACAGUAGACAAACUGCUGGGGAAAUCCAAGAGGUUCAAUGCGGAGGAAGAACUCAGAAGCAGACUCUGCGCCAGAACUGCCAACAAAGAUCAAUUUCGGUUCAGACAGUUGCUCGCGGGCAAUCAUCAUAUUGUGAUGGAUUUCCGGAACAAAAGCAUGGCAAGAGAAUCGGAUACUUUGUGCGAAGGAUUGAUUGCCGCCGGUUAAAAGUACCAACGCCGGACAGGACUGCGAGACCUUGCAAGACUCAUCGGGCAAGCCCGCGGGGGUCGGGUGAUCGGAUGUCACUGCGCGAGACUCGGGGCCAGGAACUUGGAGGAGCGCCGGCCACUCGAAGAGGCUGGAGCAGACCCCUCCCUGGCACCCGUAUCGAUGCCCGUCCUUGUUCAUCUCGUCCUCCACCACAUUCUGGAUGACGAAGAUCACCGCGCAGAGGAAGAUGGGGAACGCGACGAUCUCGAUGUUGGUCUUCAGGUUUAGCUUCUGCCAUAAGAAGACACGCAUACAGGCAAGCAAUGAGAAGGCUCGAAGCGCAUGAGGGAAAGAACACAAAAGGUGAUUCUAUUCCUAUUCAUUUCGCCACUCCGCUCAGGAAACGAAAUCGAGUUGAUGAGAGGAAGGCGGAGGAAGGGGAACCUGGAAGGUGAGGUUCUUGCGGUGGAGAGCAUUGGCUUGGGUGAAGAAGCUAGCGGCGCCGCGGGACAAAUAGGAGGACGAUAACUCCAUCGAUUCCUUUCUCUGUCUCGCCUUCGCAAGAAAUGUAUUUGCGUCUGCUUCCCUGUUCGCUUGUGUCUCCCUCGAAAAAUCAAUGAUUUGCAAGCUUGAACGAAGGGAGAGAGGAUUUAUAGGGCAUUCUCGGGAAUUUUGAGCAGGAAAUGGUGGUAAGGAAAGAGCCGGCAUGACUUCUCUUGCAUGGCUGCACACGCUGGAUCAUGUGACAGCGGCAAAUGUACGUAGGAAGGAUACAAUGGUCAACGCAGGAUCGUUUGACUUCAAAGAAGGGAGGUUUUGCCACAGUGAGAGUUUCGGUGGUAGAGAAAAUGAUGGAAAACGAUUUUUUUUCCUUAUAAAUUCUAUUCUAAGCUAUGAAAUUAUAGAAAAAAUAAAUAUUUUUCUUAUUUUCCUUAAUAGAUAUUUGAAUAUAAUAAAUUUUUUUCUUUGCAUAAAAGAAGGUUUGGAAUUCUUUUUCUUUUUGUUCCUGCCAAAUAAAUAUUAAAAAAGAAGUUUUCAGAAGAAACAUGAGCUUUCAUGAACUUUUGGUGCAACCAUGCACACCCUUAGAACAAUUAGGUUGUAUGAACAUGAGAACAUUAGGAAAAGCUUUAAUAUCAAAUUUGGUGAUGCAUGUUCAUGUUAUAUUUGAAAGAAAUUACUAGUUGAUAUUGUGCAUGAAUAUAUGCACUAACAGUAGUUACAAAAUAGGAUAAUAUGAUGAUUUUUUUAAUAAAAAUAAAUGUAAAAUAUACAUUCCAAUCAUAUUAUGAUGGACGAAAUCAUGAUGAGAUUAUUAUGAUUAAAAAAUUAUAAUAUGUUAUCAUAAUUUCUUUGAUUGAGAUAACAAUGACAACUUGUUAUCAUUUCUCUUUCCAAUAUUGUCUUUUUCUUUAUCAUUCUUAUUAUUAUUAUAUUCUGCCAAGAUGCUUAUUAAAAAGAAAGUAGAAGGAAGUAUUGGCAUGAAAUAGGCUUGUUAACUAAAAUUAGUGAAAUUUAGGUGGAUAACUUGUCUGAAUUAAUGGAUGAGGUUAAUGUUUCAACUCAAAGUAGAUUAGUCAUAUAAGGUGGCUCACUAGUGUUCGAAAUCUAAUCAACAAAAUUGUUAGAAGUAAGCGUAGGCAAGAGAACAUCAAGCAAUUAAAAAGGAAAGACAAUCUACAAAAUCAAGGGUAAGAACUGUUUUGGUCGAUAGAUCAAAAGAUAGAAAGGCAAUAAUAUCCAAGAAAAACUCAUGAUUUUGAUUGGGCUUUCAAUGUUAGAUUUUAACUAUGGACACUCAAAACAUAUAAUUUAGUAUAAUUAAGAUUAGAUCAAAAUAAAUUUUUAAAAGGUAAUAUAUUAAGAACGAAAGUGAACAUAAAAUUAAUAAGGCAACAUGUGAGAAAAAGCUCGAGUGAGAAGAGUGAGUGCUUUGGAUGAUAUAACCAUAACUAGAUUCACUAAGUUCGAGAGGGACGAGAAAAUAAAAUAUUUCAUUAAUUUUAAGAAAUUACAAGGUUUUUGGAAUUCAUCAUCAUUACCAUAAUAAAAAAAUAAUUGAUUAAACUUUCGAUUAUGAGUUUGAAUUCAAAAAAAAUGAUGAAUACUUCAUAUUUUGCUUCAUAAGAAAUAACCAUCUAUACUUAUGAAUGAUCAAGAAAGAUAAGAUAAGACUUAAUCUCAUCAUGAAACUAUAUUAGUGAAGGACCUCAAAUAUUAAAACAAAUAAGUUUAAGUGAUAAAUUGCUUUUGAGAUAUGUAGCAAAUAAAAUUUUGUGCAUUUUAUUAUAUUUGCACAAACUACAUGAAACAGGAUGGCAAGAGGAUGAUGAUAAAGAAAAAUUAUAAGAACAAAGGAAAAAGUAAGGAUGCUCUAAUCAUUUAUGUCAUUUCUGGAAUGAUGGUAAAAGCAAAUAUGAGUUUGUAUGAAAUUGAUCCAAUAGUUGGUCACUCACAAAUUUCAUCAAAAAUAUUAUUAGAAAAUAUAAUAGAGAAUUUUUUUUAGGAAUCUUAAGCAAUUAAGGAGAAGAAAAGUAUGUGAAACAAGUAUGAGUUAUUUUAAGAUUUUUACUAUCACAUUUCUUAAUAUCAUCUGAAUGAUUAUAAAAUAGAAUAAUUGCAUAAUUUUCUUAAUCAAGAAAAUAUAUAAUUCACAUUCCAAUUAUAUUAUGAUGGGGAAAUAAUUUCCAUGACACUUGUGAUUGAGAGAAUUUUAAUAACAUAUUACCAUAAUUUCUUUUAUUUCAUAAAAUUAUCUUGCUCAAUAUCAUCAUUCCUAACAAUAUAAAGAACAUAAUUUUCUCUCCAGAAAAUCUUAAUCUUGGAAUAUAAGUUUAAACUCUGAGUGCAAAAGUCUGAUUGGUAUAGAAAGUUCGAGUGAGAGAAUUAGUACAGCUUUUAUUCUCUUUAAUUGUCUCUCCUCUAUCAAGUUACCAUAUUGCUAUCAAUUUUCCAGCACUUAAUGAAUUCUAAUGAGACAUAAUAUGACACUGUAUCUGCUCCAAGUUGGAUUAUUCAAUUAUAAGUGCAUAUUUAAUUUUCAUAAUGAGUUGUUAAUUCUUAUUAAUUUUCCCAUCAUUCUUGGUAUCAAUAUAUUGAUCGGAAGAUUCUUGUCAAUGCAAUGUAAAAGUAAAAAAUAUUCACUCAAUUUAACUAUAUCUUGAUAAGGCAUAUUUUGGGCCCUAGCCAGGUCGCAACUGAUAUCGCAUCACGCCCCUGUCAAGUUAGCACGAGGAGUACUUCCACGUGACAAGCCAGGAUCCGUAUCAAGGCACCUCUCGGUACAUUUUGUCUCGGGAAGCUCGGGACGGCGCCGUAUGGCGCCGUUCCAUGCAUUCCGAGUGGCGGCUGCACAAAGGUAUCAUCUCGUCGCUCAAGGAUUGGUCGUCACAUCAAAUCCGCAUACGAUCGAUCCUUAUGCAGUAGUAUAAAAACCUCUGACCAACAUCUGGCCAAGGGGAGGCGGAAAAAAGGAAACCAAAUACUAACUUAACCGUCUAGGGGCCAAAGUCGAAAACCCCCGACGAGGGCCUUCUGUGCAGGAGCGCGGUCCUUCCAACUUAAUAUGGUAACUUUUUAUUUAUUUCAGAUGCAACUUCUUCACGUAUUAGGUGCAUUUAUAUUGAGCACUUGAUUAGGCUUGUUUUGGAUACGUAUUGUCUUUUGAACUUCUUCCUUGCUUAUGCUACAUGUUGAUGCCAAUAUUACUUAUAUCUUGCAUAUAUGGCCUUCUUUGCAGCUAAGAUUUGCUUUCAUGAUAUCAACUUUCAUUAGCAAGUCAUCAUCAGCCACAACUGUUGGGUUCUCGAUAUUCAUAAUUGGUUUUCUAACUCAGGUGAAGUUCUCGUAGUAUUACUGUAGCUUGGAAGUGAAGCUUUAGUUGUGCUGAUUUACAAAUGGAAUAACGUAUUUCAUCACUGCAGCUCGUUACAGUAGGCACGUUUCCAUAUUCUAGCCACUUCUCAAAAAUAUAUCGUGUUGUAUGGUCUCUAUUCCCCCCCAACCUUCUUGCCAAAGCUCUUGGUUUGCUUGGCAAUGCAACAGCUACCUCUGAAGGCAAAGGAAUCAGUUGGCGCAACCGUGGAGAAUGCACCACAUUUGAACCUAAUUGUGUGAUAACUAUUGUAUGUUUGCAGUUUAUCCCAAGUAGAAAAUUUGCCAUUAAUCUCCUUCACGUCUGACAUUCACUGUGUAUAUCAAACAGGAAGAUAUCUAUAGGUGGCUCAUAUCAACAUUCUUUUUAUGGUUCAUUUUGACAAUUUAUUUUGCCUUCUUGGACCUAACGGAGCUGGGAAAACUACCGUGAUUAAUUGUCUUACUGGUAUUACACCAGUUACAGGAGGAGAUGGUAAAAUCUUCUUCUUUUUUUAGCAUAUAUUUUUGUUGUGCACAAACAGUAAAAAGGCCAUGAUGCUAAGUCACACUACCUACUUACAGCAUUAAUUUAUGGAUAUUCUGUUCGGAGUUCAGUGGGUAUGUCAAAAAUCCGAAGGAUGAUUGGAGUCUGUCCCCAGGUAUGCUUCAUUUGCCUCCAGAAUUAAGUUGGCAAACUCUUUAAAGCCAUACUUUUAACUGUUUGAAAAACAAGACUGAUUAGUUUCUGAUUAUAGAUUCUUCUCUGUUUGGCAGUUUGAUAUCCUAUGGGAUGAAUUAUCAGCUCUAGAACAUUUGCAUCUAUUUGCUAGUAUUAAAGGUUUGCCUCCAUCUAGGAUUAAAUCGGUAGGUGCUCAAGACCCUUCUAGCGUUUCAUUCUUGUUUUUGUUAAACAGUAUCUAUAAUCUUCAAUCCGGUUAAAUACAAACUUUUGAAGUGGAAUUUCUUGGUGGAAAAUAUGCCCUCCUUUCUCCUACACAAUUCACACACACAUAUGCAAGAACACUACAUCUGGAGUUGAGACAAAUUUCAUAAACAUUUGUGAGCUAAAAGAACUUUAUUUCAACUAAGAAGUGUUAAUAUUAUUUUUACAGUUUCUUUUUUUUUCUGCUCUAGGAUGGUCAAUUACUCAAAUUGAAUAUGUUUUUUUGGUAAUUCAGGUAGCUGAAAAGUCAUUAGCGGAUGUAAAACUCAUUGCUGCUGCUCGAGUUAGAUCUGGAAGCUAUAGUGGAGGAAUGAAGCGUCGGCUUAGUGUUGCAAUAGCCUUCAUUGGAGAUCCAAAAUUGGUUUUUUUGGAUGAGCCAGUAAGUUGCUGUUGAAAGUUCACUGUCAUACACGAUCAUUAUUUUCUUUUGCCAAGAAUAUUUGGUGCUUUUGGUUUCUUUUCUACAAUUUCAGUUCUACCUGCUUUAACUCAUCUUUAAACAAUUGUGUCGGAUAUCUUCAUGAUUCAUCUAGGCUUCUCAUUCCAAGUUCCGACUCUGCAGAAACUAGUUCCAGAAUGGCUUGUAUCUCCCAAGGAUCCAGUGUUUUCAUAUUCCUCCCUCUUAUUCAUUAGAUCACACUAAAGCUUCUCCGUUCCUGAAGUGAUUGAGAGAGAUAUGAUUAAUAAGAAAUUAAAUGUUCAUGAGCCAUGGAUGGUAUCAUUUUGGAUGGUAUCAGACCAAUAAUCCUUGCUCUGAUACCAAAAGAAACGGAAGACGACCAAUAAUUUGUAAGAAAUGAUAAGCACAAAGAACUAUAGAAAGCUUAAAAUGCUUACAAAGGAUUGGACUUAGACUUCUUCUCAAGUAAGACUCUGGUUUUUCGACCGAUGUCUUGCAAGAGACUAAGCUAGAGAAUAUAUAGAGGAAGAGGAUAGAACCGGGUACUCAUUGGGCCCCAUCGCAUUCUUAUCUCUUCUUCUAAUAUAUUUCUAGACUUCGUACUGAAGGAAAGGAUAUUCCUUAGUACAAUUAUUGAUGACACUACGAGCGGCUCCCCGGGGCUCAACUCGUUUGACAGCUAAGAAAAACAGGUGCUCUACCCCACGCAACUUGUUUUUACUUGGCGGCUAAGAAAAGUAGAUGCUCCAGCUGUUGCAGGACCUCUAAAGGCUAAAGCUAGUUGUCCUCUGUGAGACGUCUUUUGCCAGAGAUAGAGCCUUCUCCAGUUGUUGUUGCUGCUGGAGGACAACUGGUAACCAGUCCUUGUACCAGUUGUCUUUUCCACCGCUCCUUCUUUGAUACUCUUUAGUCUUGAUUAGGUGGAUGUCCAUGAAUUCCUUUUGAAUUGCUCCAAGUCUUCUUUCAGAUAGUCCCAUUUCAUCAAAUGUGAGUCCUUCACAUGUCUUGGCUCUGAGCUUAUCCAUUUCUUGUUGGUAUUGCAGGAGGAGGUCGCCUGGUUUAUUAGUUGAUUCAGGUGUGCAGUGGCCCUGAGGUUUGGUUUGGCUUGAACUUCCUGAGUGGCUUCUAGGAGAAGGAGUAAUGAUUCGUUGGGCCAUCCUGCAACCAAAAUAUUUAUUAGUCGGGAUAAAGAGUCGGCUAGAAUGUUACUAUCUCCUUCGAUGUGCUCAAAUUUGAUUUCAACGCCGCUUCCAGUGAUGUAGUCUACAAAGGACAUCCAUCGGACUCUAGAUGGUUUGUUCUGAGUGGACUUGUUGAAGAAGCUUAUUAUUGCUUGACAGUCAGUUCUGAUGAUAAUUUCCUUUUUAUCAAGAAAGUAAAUUUUCAAUGCCUCCAGAGUUUUCAUGACUGCAUGCAUUUCAACGUCUAUAGUGGACUUGAUCGGAUUGUACUUUCCGCUGGCGUAGGCACAUACCUUUUCAGUGUUUCUGGGGUCGUAUUUUUGUUUUUUCCAUUUACAAAUACCUCCCCAUCCUUCCAUGCAUCCGUCCGUUUCGAGUAUUAUAAAACAGUCUUCAGGAGGUACCUCUAGGUCAGGGAGAUUUUGUAUCAGGCUCUUAAUCUUCCUGAUUAGUUUCCAAUCUUGCUCAUUUAGCCUUUUCUCGCCAGUGGGGCUUGUUUUUGAAUAUAAUGGGCCUAGAAGCCUGCCCAGGUUGGGUAUAUAGCUUCUUGCAUAGUUUAGAAUUCCCAGCCAUGAUCUGAGGCCCUUCUUGGUAGUAAGGUCUUCUUCCUGAUACUCUGUGAUUCUUUUAAUAAUAUGGGGUUGUAACUUAAUUUUGGAGUUCCCCAAGACUGCUCCAAGAAAUUCAAUCUCCUUUACUGCAAUUUUCAUUUUCGUUGGGCUUAAGACAAGGCCGUUUUCUUGGCAUAUUUCUAACAUUUUAGUGAGGUGUUGCCCAUGCUCCUUUUCGUUUUCUGAGAAGACAAGGAUAUCAUCAAUGUAUACUGCAAUGAAUUGUUCAGUACCUUUGAAGCAGCUAUCCAUUUUUCUUUGGAAUACAGCAGGGGCAUUUUUGAGACCAAAUGGCAUUGCAAGCCAUUCAUACAGUCCUUCAGGAACCCAGAAUGCAGUCCAUUCAAUGGAAUCAGGGUGCAUGGCAACUUGGUGAAAGCCCGAUUUUAGGUCAAACUUUGAGUAGAUUUUGCUAUUGCUGACCUUUUUAAGGAUGGUAUUGAUACCAGGAAGGCUGUAUUGAUCCUUUUCGGUGAUGUCGUUGAGCCUUUUGUAAUUAAAAACCAUCCUUUCCUUCCCUUUUCUUUCAGCUCCUGUUAUGGGGUCCACCGUGGUUCCUGAAUUAACAAUUAUAGCAGUGGUACGGUGCUUACUUUUGCUUGGUCUGAUAACCCCUAUUUCCAGUAGUGCUUUUACAUGCCUUGAGAAGGCUUCCUUUGCUUGUGGUGUUAAAUGUCUAAGGGGUUUGUCUUCCACCACGAAGUCUUGAUUCUUAAUCUCCAACCUGCAGGUUAUCUUGUUCUUUUUCCAAUGUUUGAGGGGAUCUUCUCCAAUAUAACCUUGGGCUUUUAACUGGUCUAGUAGGCUUCCAAACUUGGCCCUCAUAUCUUCAUUGCUUUGCUGGGCUUCUGCAGAGUAAAAUACUGCCUCCUGGAUUUGGAUAUAGUCAUCUUCUUCCAAAUCUAGUUCUUCUAUUGCUGCGGCUGUUGAGGUAUAGGGCAAAGUAUUAAUAGUCGUUAAGUUUUUGUAAAACGUAACCGUGUUACCUUCAAUCCUAACUCCUCCUUGCAUUGCCCUUAUAAAAUUACAUCCUAUUAUCAUUUGAAUAUCAUCCCCAAGCUUCAUUGAGAACGCAUAGGUGUAAGGAAUCCUGAAAGUGUUGUUCCCAAUAGUCAUUUUGCCUCCCCUCAAUUUUUUGUUUGCUGUCGUUUUGGAGGUGAUCCCACUGAAAUGCACCACAUAAGGGUUUUCUUCUAUUGCAGCUUUUGGUACAGCCUUCUCGUCUAUGCAACAAGUGGUAGCACCUGUAUCUAGUAUAGCAUUAACUUCAAAAGGGGGAAUAUUCAGAAUUUCCAUAUGUACCUUUAAGUUGAAGAGCAUAUUCUUAGAUCUUCUUGAUCCUCCCGUUUCCUUUGUUUCCAUAGAGAGGAUUUUCUGAGUUUCUUCCUCCAAGAGAACAAGGGCCUCUUCAUUCUCUUCUUCUUCUUCGCUUUCUUCAGUUUUUCUUUUUCCAAGCCUUUGUAUUUCUUUCAGGAGAUCGGCCUUCUCAAGCCUUAACCGAUCUACUUCCAGUACUUCCCCUUCCAAUUUGUCAUAUUUUUCCUUUAGCUCUACCACUUCGUUUUGUAAACGGAGGUUUUCCUGAGCUAUGGCUAUAGAUUGAAUAUGCAUUUCUUCCAGCUCCUUGGCCUUUUGUCGUUCAAAUUCAAUCGCCAUUUUGAGCCUCCUUAUUUCUGCUUCGCAAUGAUUAAUAAAGUCUUGUUGUGUUUGAAGCAAGUUUCUAGGUUCAUACCUUGGGGGUUCCUCCAUCAUGACGGGGGUUCUUUUGUCAAAGUAAUAUAUGCUACACAUUCCACACGAAGUGAUCUUGCAUAAGGGACAAUGUCUCCUAUGCCUUCUUUGCGACGUUCUCUUGCAGCAUUUGCACUCUUCCAAUCCUGGCGGUAGUUCUGUGUUGAUUUCCCAUAUGUGUCUGCAUUCAGCUUGUUCUUGGGAAACUUGUAUUCUUGCUCUGUAUCCUGUUUUAGGUCCUAUCCACCAAGUUCUACUAUCUUCUAUUAAAGCGAAAAUUUUAUGGGUGAAGGAGUGAAUACCAUGCUGUAGGUCUUCUAUGUCUUCUCCUUCAGAAAUUGAAUAAAUUGCGUCGCUUUGGUUUUCUCCUUCUUGUACAGAUAGUAUUUCGUAUUCAUCUGGAAUAUCCAACUGUUCAAAUAUAGCAACUCUUUUGAUAUUCUUUCGGUCAUUGGGGCACUCUCUUGCAAAAUGCCCUUCUUCUCCACAAAGGUAGCACUUACAUUUCUUAUUUCUUAUCAAGUGCUUUCUCUUCUCAAUCCUUGCGUGGGAUGAGUGAGGUUUACCUUUAUAGGUCGUUGAUCUUCUUACCCCAUAUUUUCUUUCAGGUUUGUUGUAGUAUCCUGGGAUAGGAAUUUCACUGCAAAAGGACAGGUCCUUUAAUGCUCUUCUAAAUGCAGCAUCUUUGCAUUCAGCUUCUAAGUAUUUGUAGGAGAAGAGUAUUCUCGGGAUCACUCCUAUAGUAUUUCCCCUAUACUUUGCUUCAAAUGCCUCUUUGAUUCUCUUUCCUAGCUCCCCUGGCAUUUUGGACCAUAGCUUUUCAGAUAGUUCAGGGCCCAAGAACAUCCUUCCUGUUUUGGAUGCCAACCUCAUAUAAUCAUUUAAGAAUUGAAUAAUAUGUUUGAGGUUAGUACAGGAUAACCUUUCAAGGUCUCUGUAGGCUUCUUCUUGCGCUGUUGUGGAUCCCUGGAANNNNNNNNNNNNNNNNNNNNNNNNNNNNNNNNAAACAUUCCCAAUUGGGAUGAGAUUAUAAAUAUUGCUCCCUGCUGCUGAAAGGCUGAAGGGAGGUUCCAGGCUUCUGAAAAGUUCUUUGCCUUGAACCUUGGUUGUCUUGAAUGCCCUUCAUAUUCUGGCCUUUGGCUUGUGGAUUCUAUAUUCACAGCCGGAGGGUAAUUUACUGGUCCCAUGGUUGAGUCCGCCGGUGGCCUGUAAUUUGACACAGCAGAUGAUGAAUAUACCUGAUGAGAUAAUUUUGCUAACUGGGGGUAUUCCAUUACUAGUUCUUCUUCCAGUCCUGCUGCAAUUAAUUCCCUCUGAGGCUUUCGAGGAUACGGCAUCUCUACUUCUUUCUCUGAGAUAUGGGUAUCUUGAAAAUAGGAAUUCAGGCCUUCGCGUAGCUCCUCUGCUUCAUCUUCACUACUACUUGAUAAUUGAAUAUUGACAGCUAUUGUGUGGCUUCGUAUUUCUUCUUCAUCGCUGAACGUUUCAUCAUCCACAGUGUUAUAGUGGAUUCUGCUGGAUGUCGAUGCUGCUUUAUAAUUAUCAAAACUGAUCGAAAUCCUUCCGUCAAUUAGGUUCCUACUCCUGAGCUCAACAGGUUGUAUGGGGAUUGAGACUUGCGUCGGUCUAAUCAUCCAGUCUCUCCCUCUGAUUUCUGCUGUGGAAUAACUUCUACCUGGUAGAGCCCUUAUGCCAUGGCUUGUUAGGUAAUCCACCACCCCUGAGAUUUCAUAAGCAAAGGCGACAUUCGGGGUAUUUGAAAGCCGCCCUACCAUUCCUCUGGUAAUUAAUAGAUUUGCUUCUCCAUUCUGCCAUGUGUCAUAUCCACGGGUUAGUAUAGAGAGUUGUAUAUUGCGGUAAAAAUCUCCUACCGUCAUCAUAGUAUCUAGUACAACAUAGACCAGUUGACUUCCUCUGGUCAAGUCUACUUCCAUGGUAGCAAUGAUGGACCUAUCAUCGGCCCAUCUGUUGUCCCGGAACACUAAUAGUGCUAGUGUCCCUUCUUCCUGCCUGUGGAGUGUCUGAAUCCUUGUUUGUAGGAUUCCAAGAUGAAUAUAUCUCAUCCCGCUCCUAAUUAGUUGGUCAAAGCUUUGUUCUUGUAUGAAGGCCCUGUCUUCUUGGUUAUUGGUGACCAACAUAGCUUCUUCCGAUCGAUGCGUGUAAACCCUGUGGUGUGCAUCGUCCCUCCUUGAGUGAUACAGUAUUUCAGCUGGUGCUAUUGCAGCUCUUUCCCUCAUGGAUAAUUGUAGCUGUGCCUGAGGGUCUAUUUGUUGCUCCAGAACUUGUAUGUUUGGGUUUGGGUUUCUGGAAAUUAGUUGUCCCAGUCGUCUUCUAGCGUUGAAUAUUCUCCUCUGGUUUCUCCUGUAGUUUCUGAUCUGAUCUUCUAUAAGAGGAGUUGACGUGGAUACCUCUUGGGUUCGCGUUCUGGAAGUCAUCCUUUUGCUUCCUGAAAGAUCUUUAUAGGAUCCUUAAAAACCAGGAUUUUUCCUUUCGUCUCUUUAGGCCUUUCUGAAGGACCCAGGUUGAGAUUUGCCAAUUUGGUAAUAAGUUCGUCUGGUACUACUUGGGAUUGUAUUAUUUUUUAUUGUUGCAAUUCCCGUAUUGUUUGUAGUUCUGUCCGUAUUCCUUUUAUGUCUUCAGCAAUUUGUAUCAGAAGUUGUAUCUGAAUGUUAUGCUGCUUGAUUACGGCUACCUGAUGGCUGAGAGUUCCAGGGAAAUCACUUGUUUUGAGAAAACCAAGUGAUGGAGGUUCAAUGGAUUCAG